This is a long non-coding RNA of Astatotilapia calliptera (eastern happy), 1744 nucleotides long. Lineage: Eukaryota; Metazoa; Chordata; Actinopteri; Cichliformes; Cichlidae. The record is from Ensembl.
GACUGCAGAAAACGUGACUUUUAUAGAGUCAGUGGGGAAUAUUAACUUGUAAAGUCCAUGAAAACCGAUACCUGCUGGACAACAAAGUGUUUUGGUUGGUUGCAGCAUCGUAAACCUAAAAGCAGAAGAGUGAGGCGUGUGUGAUUCGUGUAAAGUAUGCGGCGCAUGCGCAUACCUGAAUUAUCCGACAGCUAGCUCCGUUGUUGCGAGUCCACCGUAGUUACACACACACACGCACUACCUAGCGUUAGCAACAAGACCCACAGCAGCAUCACAGAGUCUGUAAGGUUAACUCGGAGUAUUCACAGACAACCAUGCUUAUAGUCACCUAUACUGCAUCUGCCACAAUUAUAAGUGCAUAUCUGGCUGUAUCACGGUUGGAUUAAUCAUGGCAAGCCCUGCUGUAACCAGUUCUUCUGUGAAGCUUCAUUAAAGACGGUGAACUAAACUCCUGGACUGCUGCAGUCUUUCUGACCCAAGACUUAGGCCAGACUUGUAUACCCAGCACUUCCAGUUCAUAUAUAUUCUACACAAAUGUUUAUCAGUUGAAGAAUCAGACUCCUUUUAAACAUUAUAUUUGUACUAAAUGUGUAUGUAAAUAUGGUGUCUGUAUAUUUAAUGCCUAUAUUUGUGACUGUGUUUCUGUUGUAGUUUAUUCCUGUAUGAAUGUUAAAUACUUGACUGAAAGUAUUCAAAAUGUAUUUGCAUUGCUUUACAGAAAAAGGGAAAAAUCGUAGGACUGUGGGGGAAAGAGUGAUUACCUCAGUUAAACAACUCGUGUAAUUAUAUUAGGUUCAUCUUUAAGGAACUCUGCAUGUCUCCAAACAGCUUUGAAUGUCUUUGAAAUGAGAAUAAUACAAAUAGAAAAAGAAAAAAAUGGACACAUGCAGACAAAGUAAAGAGAUGAAUAUUCAGUAAGCUAUAAAGAUUCAAAGGUCUCUCAGUUUUUCUCAAAUGUGUGUGAGGACUGCUUGUUUGUAUUCUUGGAUGCACUUAGUAAAUCCAACAGCUCAGCUAUUUGUUGUUUGUUGUUUUUAAAAGUUGCAGGAAGAACAAACUUCUUAAAUAGUAAAUGAAACAAAGCACAAAUGCAAAGUUGUUGUUUUUUUUUCAUUUUUAUUUUUUUAUUUUUUUUCUGUUUUUUAACUCAAAAAGUCCAGUUACAACAGGACAUUUUGAGUUAAGAAACAGACCAAAUCUCAACAACACUUCCCUCAUGGUGCUUUAUAAUGUAAAGUCAAGACCCUACAAUAAUGCACAAAGACUCCAAUCCCCUAGAGCAAGCACUUUGGCGACAGUGGGAAGGAAAAACUCACUUUUAAAAGAGAGAAACCUCCGGCAGACCCAGGCUCUAGGAUGGGGUGGCCAUCUGCCUCAGCCAGUUGGUGAUGAGGGAAGGAAGUUGGGAGAAGAAGAGUAGUGAUUUUUAACCACUCUGGUUUCAAAAUUAAAUUUAGAAAGCCCAAUUGAAAUGAAUAUUCACAUGCACGUGUUGGUUCGAUUUUAGCGUGCACAUGAGAAAGCCCUAAAGAUGAUGUUUUGGCUCCUCAAUUUUGCAUGUUUUUUGAAGCUGCUGACGAUUGCUUCAUCCAUUACUGGGUUUCUUGACCACAUUAAGAGCAUUGGAGAAUCCCACCUGUCAUGGAGUUCAUUGUAUAUUGUCAGGGCGAGUUCUCCAAUGUUCUCCAAGGACAUUUUGUACUUUUUUGACAAAAUUUUGUCCCAGAUCUUCUGGAAAAGCCUC